GAUGAACGCUGACAGAAUGCUUAACACAUGCAAGUCUACUUGAAUUUGGGUUUUUUAACUUCGAUUUGGGUGGCGGACGGGUGAGUAACGCGUAAAGAACUUGCCUCACAGCUAGGGACAACAUUUGGAAACGAAUGCUAAUACCUGAUAUUAUGAUUAUAGGGCAUCCUAGAAUUAUGAAAGCUAUAUGCGCUGUGAGAGAGCUUUGCGUCCCAUUAGCUAGUUGGAGAGGUAACGGCUCACCAAGGCGAUGAUGGGUAGCCGGCCUGAGAGGGUGAACGGCCACAAGGGGACUGAGACACGGCCCUUACUCCUACGGGAGGCAGCAGUGGGGAAUAUUGGACAAUGGACCGAGAGUCUGAUCCAGCAAUUCUGUGUGCCGAUGACGUUUUUCGGAAUGUAAAGUGCUUUCAGUUGGGAAGAAAAAAAUGACGGUACCAACAGAAGAAGUGACGGCUAAAUACGUGCCAGCAGCCGCGGUAAUACGUAUGUCACGGAGCGUUAUCCGGGAUGUAUUGGGGCGUAAAAGCGCGUCUAGGGGGGUUAUGUAAGUCUGAUGUGAAAAUGCAGGGCUCCAACUCCUGUAUUUGCGUUGGGAAACUGUGUAACUUAGGAGUACUGGAGAGGUAAAGCGGGAACUUACAAAGUGUAGAGGUUGAAAUUCGGUGAAUAUUUUGUAGGGAAUGCCGAUGGGGGAAGCCAGCUUACUGGACAGAUACUUGACGGCUGAAGCGCGAGAGGGGGGUGGGCAAACAGGAUUAGGUUACCCUAGUAGUCCAGGGCCGAAUUCCACAGUGGAUAUAAAGCUUUAUCGAUACCCGUCGCCCUGAGGGGGGGGGCCCGGUUUUCUAUUUUUUUGUUCCUUUUAGGGAGGGUAAAUUAGGCU
This 886-nucleotide ribosomal RNA is filed under the name uncultured Actinomycetaceae bacterium. RNAcentral describes it as "partial 16S ribosomal RNA". It matches the Rfam family "Bacterial small subunit ribosomal RNA", at positions 28 to 873 of the family's 1533-position model. Lineage: Bacteria; Bacillati; Actinomycetota; Actinomycetes; Actinomycetales; Actinomycetaceae. The record is from RNAcentral.